GAAAGAAGAAGGGGUCAACAUACACUGGGGACAUGCACACCCAGCUUUAUGCAACAUCAUGAGAAGAUGUUAAACCAUAGGGAAUGGCACAAGUUAGCUUUUUGUUUAAUUCCCAGUAUCGUCUUGGGAUUUCUCGCACUCAGGGAACAUGCCUUUGUAAAAUGAACUCUCAGUAGUUGGACAAACAGUGCACCCAUUGUCUAAUGUUUUCUUGUUGCCUUGUUUAGCAGUAAAAGUUUUACCAGCAGCAGCAGCAGUGCAGUUUCCACAGCAUGACUGAAUCAGAAUGAAAGUGGUGGUCUUCUUUGUUCUGGACUUCGCUAUAUUGUUCUUGUCCGAGACGCUUUGUGGACUGUGUACAUUUCAUGUUGUAUGACAAUCCAAACCUCGUCCCAGAUAUUACAUCCUCCUGUAUUGUUUUCCACUCCUGUUCGGUAGUCGCUUACCCAGAGAGAAAACAAACAGACUGUUUGUGACUGUGGUUGAGAUGAAAGUGGCUCUUUUCUUUUUUCUUUUUUUGAAGGGAGUACAGUAGGAGAUCAGACAGGAUGACUGUCAGUGAUAGUCUGCUCCCCUGAAGGCUCUAUGGAGUAAAGAAGCAGCGUGCCUCAGAGCACCGCAUGGUAUCUGUAUGGAUGACAGAGGGGAGAGCGAGGAGGGGAAUUAAGAGUGCCAGCAGCACAUAGGGAAUUCCUGCACGUCUGUCCCCGCGUUGCUUUAGUGUUUGUGUGUUUGUGUGUGUGGUGCUGUCACAGAAGAGCUCCCGCUUUUCCCCUGCUAACCUGCUAAAUGGUCUCCUUUAACCCACCCACCACCGCUAAGUCCUCCCUUUCCACAUGCGGAUGGGGCUACUGUGACAUCACUCAUUCCCACGCACUCUGAUUGGCUAGCCAUUGGAGGGAAGUAAUUUUUUUUCCUGCAGCCUAUAGCGAAAAAUUGAGAGAGAGAGAGAGAAAACGUGGGAGGGAAGGACACAGGUAGAGAGGAUAUGAGAGGGGAAGAGAGAGAGGGAGACUAAGC
This is a long non-coding RNA of Astatotilapia calliptera (eastern happy), 1020 nucleotides long. Lineage: Eukaryota; Metazoa; Chordata; Actinopteri; Cichliformes; Cichlidae. The record is from Ensembl.